RNAcentral lists this non-coding RNA (93 nucleotides) under Scrippsiella hangoei. Lineage: Eukaryota; Dinophyceae; Peridiniales; Peridiniaceae. The record is from RNAcentral.
AAGCACGGCUUCGCAGCGCGCACACGGGGAGCCCGCUCCCAUGGAUGCUGCGAGGAAAGUCCCCGUGCCUUGGUGCAGAGAGUGCGUGUGGGA